ACUCAAGUGGUUUAAUUGGUAAAAUACCGAUUUGUGGUGUCGGUGAUGCAUGUUUGUGUCUUGAGUC
RNAcentral lists this transfer RNA (67 nucleotides) under Porotermes quadricollis. Its description in RNAcentral is "tRNA-His". It matches the Rfam family "tRNA". From Rfam's summary of the family: Transfer RNA (tRNA) molecules are approximately 80 nucleotides in length. The record is from RNAcentral. Lineage: Eukaryota; Metazoa; Arthropoda; Insecta; Blattodea; Termopsidae.